This 433-nucleotide ribosomal RNA is filed under the name uncultured bacterium. RNAcentral's name for it is "partial 16S ribosomal RNA". It matches the Rfam family "Bacterial small subunit ribosomal RNA", at positions 29 to 507 of the family's 1533-position model. The record is from RNAcentral.
AACGAACGCUGGCGGCAUGCCUAACACAUGCAGGUCGAACGAUCCCUUCGGGGAUAGUGGCGCACGGGUGCGUAACGCGUGGGAACCUGCCCUUAGGUUCGGAAUAACUCAGAGAAAUUUGAGCUAAUACCGGAUAAUGUCUUCGGACCAAAGAUUUAUCGCCUUUGGAUGGGCCCGCGUUGGAUUAGCUAGUUGGUGGGGUAAAGGCCUACCAAGGCGACGAUCCAUAGCUGGUCUGAGAGGAUAAUCAGCCACACUGGGACUGAGACACGGCCCAGACUCCUACGGGAGGCAGCAGUGGGGAAUAUUGGACAAUGGGCGAAAGCCUGAUCCAGCAAUGCCGCGUGAGUGAUGAAGGCCUUAGGGUUGUAAAGCUCUUUUACCCGGGAUGAUAAUGACAGUACCGGGAGAAUAAGCCCCGGCUAACUCCGUG